Molecule: ribosomal RNA, 429 nt
Filed under: Pseudomonadota bacterium
Lineage: Bacteria; Pseudomonadati; Pseudomonadota
Description: Proteobacteria bacterium partial 16S ribosomal RNA
Rfam family: Bacterial small subunit ribosomal RNA
Source: RNAcentral
UGGGGAAUAUUGGACAAUGGGCGAAAGCCUGAUCCAGCCAUGCCGCGUGUGUGAAGAAGGUCUUCGGAUUGUAAAGCACUUUAAGAUGGGAGGAAGGGCAGUAAGCGAAUACCUUGCUGUUUUGACGUUACCGACAGAAUAAGCACCGGCUAACUCUGUGCCAGCAGCCGCGGUAAUACAGAGGGUGCAAGCGUUAAUCGGAAUUACUGGGCGUAAAGCGCGCGUAGGUGGUUCGUUAAGUUGAAUGUGAAAGCCCCGGGCUCAACCUGGGAACUGCAUCCAAAACUGGCGAGCUAGAGUAGGGCAGAGGGUGGGGGAAUUUCCUGUGUAGCGGUGAAAUGCGUAGAUAUAGGAAGGAACACCAGUGGCGAAGGCGACCACCUGGGCUCAUACUGACACUGAGGUGCGAAAGCGUGGGGAGCAAACAGG